AGCGAAUGGGAUUAGAUACCCCAGUAGUCCACGCCGUAAACGAUGGAUGCUAAGCAUUGGCAGUAUCGACCCUGCCAGUGCUGCUUAACUAAGCUAACGCCUUAAGCAUCCCGCCUGGGGAGUACGAGCGCAAGCUUAAAACUCAAAGGAAUAGACGGGGACCCGCACAAGCGGUGGAGCGUGCGGUUUAAUUCGAUAAUAAGCGAGGAACCUCACCCAGACUUGACAUCUAGCUGCAGAAUCCGAGAAAUCGGAUAGCCUUCGAGGGUGCUAGACAGGUGCUGCAUGGUUGUCGUCAGCUCGUGUCGUGAGAUGUACCGUUAAGUCGGGAAACGAGCGCAACCCCUAUCCUAUGUUUUACAUGUCAUAGGAAACUGCCCGCUUUAAGUGGGAGGAAGGUGGGGACGACGUCAAAUCAGCAUGGUCCUUACGUCUGGGGCGACACGCGCGCUACAAUGGGAAGCACAAUGGGACGCCAAACCGCGAGGUGGAGCAAAUCCCUUAAAACUUCUCUCAGUUCGGAUUGGAGUCUGCAACUCGACUCCAUGAAGUCGGAAUCGCUAGUAAACGCGUAUCAGCCACGGCGCGUUGAAUACGUUCUCGGGUCUUGUACUCACCGCCCGUCACACCAAGAGAGCCGGCAAUACCCGAAGGCCCCGCUUAGCGGGGACGAAGGUAGGGCUGGUGAUAAGGGUGAAGUCGUAACAAGGUA
This 712-nucleotide ribosomal RNA is filed under the name uncultured bacterium. RNAcentral's name for it is "bacterial SSU rRNA". It matches the Rfam family "Bacterial small subunit ribosomal RNA", at positions 767 to 1498 of the family's 1533-position model. The record is from RNAcentral.